CCCUUAGAUGUUCUGGGCCGCACGCGCGCUACACUGAUGCAUUCAACGAGCCUAUCCUUGACCGACAGGUCCGGGUAAUCUUUGAAUCUGCAUCGUGACGGGGAUAGAUUAUUGCAAUUAUUAAUCUUCAACGAGGAAUGCCUAGUAGGCGCAAGUCAUCAGCUUGCGUCGAUUACGUCCCUGCCCUUUGUACACACCGCCCGUCGCUCCUACCGAUUGGGUGUGCUGGUGAAAUGUUCGGAUCGGCCGUUUGUCGCGGUUUCCGCGUCAUGUGGCUGGGAAGUUCAUUAAACCCUCCCACCGAGAGGAAGGAGAAGUCGUAACA
This 325-nucleotide ribosomal RNA is filed under the name uncultured eukaryote. RNAcentral's name for it is "partial 18S ribosomal RNA". It matches the Rfam family "Eukaryotic small subunit ribosomal RNA", at positions 1470 to 1796 of the family's 1831-position model. The record is from RNAcentral.